AUUCAUUUGAGUUUUAGCCUUGCGSCCGUACUCCCCAGGCGGCCAACUUAGCGAGUUAUYUGCGGCACCGACGGGGUUGAGACCGCCAGCGCCUAGUUGGCAUCGUUUACGGCAUGGACUACCGGGGUUUCUAAUCCCGUUCGCUCCCCAUGCUGUCGUGUCUGAGCGUCAGGGCUGACCCAGGUGGCCGCCUUCGCCUCUGGGGUUCCUCCGGAUCUCUACGCAUUUCACCACUACACCCGGAAUUCCACCACCCUCUGUCAGCCUCGAGCCGAACAGUCUGGCAUACCCUUGCCCGGUUGAGCCGAGCGCUUUCAUACACCACUUGUUCAGCCGCCUGCACACCCUUUACGCCCAGUAAAUCCGGAUAACGCUUGCCACCUACGUUUUACCGCGGCUGCUGGCACGUAGUUAGCCGUGACUUGUUCGCGCGGUACCGUCCUUCCUCGUCCCGCGCCAAAGCAGUUUACGACCCGAAGGCCGUCAUCCUGCACGCGGCGUUGCUGCGUCAGGCUUUCGCCCAUUGCGCAAUAUCCCUUACUGCUGCCUCCCGUAGGAGUCUGGGCCGUUUGUCAGUCCCAGUGUGGGGGGCCACCCUCUCAGGCCCCCGACCCGUCGUUGGCUUGGUGAGCCGUUACCUCACCAACUACCUGAUGGGCCGCAGCCCCCUCCCUCGGCCCCUAAAGUUUCUUGAGAGCCUUCUAAGCGCUCCCAAGCUAUGCGGUAUUAGCAGCACUUUCGUACUGUUGUCCCCCGCCGAGGGGCAGGUCAGCUACGUGUUACGCACCCGGUCGCCACUAGAUACAUUGCUGUAUCCCGUUCGACUUGCAUGUAUUAGGCACGCCGCCAGCGUUCAUCCUGAGCCAGGAUCAAACUCU
RNAcentral lists this ribosomal RNA (878 nucleotides) under uncultured Chloroflexota bacterium. RNAcentral describes it as "uncultured Chloroflexi bacterium partial 16S ribosomal RNA". Lineage: Bacteria; Bacillati; Chloroflexota. The record is from RNAcentral.